AUUGAACGCUGGCGGCGUGCCUAACACAUGCAAGUCGAGCGGUAACAGGUGUAGCAAUACAUGCUGACGAGCGGCGAACGGGUGAGUAAUGCUUCGGAAUCUGCCCAUGUAGUGGGGAAUAACCAGCCGAAAGGUUGGCUAAUACCGCAUACGACCCUUGCCCACAAGGCAAAGGUGAAAGCAGGGGAUCGCAAGACCUUGCGCUAUUGGAUGAGCCGAAGUCGGAUUAGCUAGUUGGUAGGGUAACGGCCUACCAAGGCGACGAUCCGUAGCUGGUCUGAGAGGACGACCAGCCACACUGGGACUGAGACACGGCCCAGACUCCUACGGGAGGCAGCAGUGGGAAUAUUGGACAAUGGGGCAACCCUGAUCCAGCGACGCCGCGUGUGUGAAGAAGGCCUGCGGGUUGUAAAGCAC
RNAcentral lists this ribosomal RNA (417 nucleotides) under uncultured bacterium. RNAcentral's name for it is "bacterial SSU rRNA". It matches the Rfam family "Bacterial small subunit ribosomal RNA", at positions 30 to 433 of the family's 1533-position model. The record is from RNAcentral.